GACGGGGGGGACUAGCGUUAUUCACCUAACUGGGCGUUAAGGGCGCGUAGGCUGAAAAUUAAGUUUGAAAGAAAAUACUCGGGCUCUACUUGAGAAUACUUUUUUUAACUGAUUUAUCUAGAGUUCAGAGCAGUAAAAUGGUACAGGCAAUUUGGAGGGUGAAAUCCUAAGAAAUGUUUUGGACCACCUUUGGUGAAGACGAUUUUAUGGCUUUAUGGGACUGACGCUGAGGCGCGAAAGCAUGGGUAUCAAACAG
Molecule: ribosomal RNA, 256 nt
Filed under: uncultured bacterium
Lineage: Bacteria
Description: partial 16S ribosomal RNA
Rfam family: Bacterial small subunit ribosomal RNA
Source: RNAcentral